CACGUAGUUAGCCGGCGCUUCUUUACCCACUACCCUCACCACAACCACAGUUGCGGCUUGACCAUGAGCGAAAGAGGUUUACAACCCGAAGGCCGUCAUCCCUCACGCGGCGUCGCUGCAUCAGGCUUUCGCCCCAUUGUGCAAUAUUCCCCACUGCUGCCUCCCGUAGGAGUCUGGGCCGUAUCUCAGUCCCAAUGUGACCGGUCACCCUCUCAGGCCGGCUACCCGUCAAAGCCUUGGUAGGCCAUCACCCCACCAACAAGCUGAUAGGCCGCGAGCCCCAUCCCCCGACCAGAAAAAACCCUUUCCACCAACCCCCCAUGCGAAGGCCAGUGAAUAUCCAGUAUUAGCACCCGUUUCCGGGCGUUAUCCCAAGAAGGGGCAGGUUACUCACGUGUUACUCACCCGUUCGCCACUCAUCCACCCAGCAAGCUGGGCUUCAGCGUUCGACUUGCAUGUGUUAAGCACGCCGCCAGCGUGUCCUCGUGCCACGGACGUCAAACGUACCUACUCGUACGACUGGUACC
Molecule: ribosomal RNA, 527 nt
Filed under: uncultured Actinomyces sp.
Lineage: Bacteria; Bacillati; Actinomycetota; Actinomycetes; Actinomycetales; Actinomycetaceae
Description: partial 16S ribosomal RNA
Source: RNAcentral